UGGGGAAUUUUGGACAAUGGGCGAAAGCCUGAUGCAGCAACGCCGCGUGCGGGACGAAGGCCUUCGGGUCGUAAACCGCUUUUCUGGGGAAAGAGCAAGGACGGUACCUCAGGAAUAUGUCUCGGCUAACUACGUGCCAGCAGCCGCGGUAAAACGUAGGAGGCGAGCGUUAUCCGGAUUUACUGGGCGUAAAGCGCACGCAGGCGGCUCUGUGAGUCGGACGUGAAAGCUCUCGACUUAACCGGGAGAGGCCGUUCGAUACUGCGGGGCUUGAGGUAGGGAGAGGAAUGCGGAAUUCCCGGUGUAGUGGUGGAAUGCGUAGAUAUCGGGAGGAACACCUGUGGCGAAAGCGGCAUUCUGGCCCUCACCUGACGCUGAGGUGCGAAAGCGUGGGUAGCAAACAG
RNAcentral lists this ribosomal RNA (404 nucleotides) under uncultured bacterium. Its description in RNAcentral is "bacterial SSU rRNA". It matches the Rfam family "Bacterial small subunit ribosomal RNA", at positions 355 to 775 of the family's 1533-position model. The record is from RNAcentral.